AAAAGGUCGGGAUAGCUCAGUUGGAG
RNAcentral lists this transfer RNA (26 nucleotides) under Moraea bellendenii. RNAcentral's name for it is "partial tRNA-Phe". The record is from RNAcentral. Lineage: Eukaryota; Viridiplantae; Streptophyta; Magnoliopsida; Asparagales; Iridaceae.